This 484-nucleotide ribosomal RNA is filed under the name uncultured bacterium. RNAcentral describes it as "bacterial SSU rRNA". It matches the Rfam family "Bacterial small subunit ribosomal RNA", at positions 29 to 507 of the family's 1533-position model. The record is from RNAcentral.
AGUGAACGCUGGCGGCAGGCCUAAUACAUGCAAGUCGAACGGCAGCACAGUGGAGCUUGCUCCAUGGGUGGCGAGUGGCGGACGGGUGAGGAAUACAUGGGAAUCUGCCCAGUCGUGGGGGAUAACGUAUGGAAACGUACGCUUAAUACCGCAUGCGCCCUUCGGGGGAAAGUCGGGGACCGCAAGGCCUGACGCGAUUGGAUGAGCCCAUGUUCGAUUAGCUAGUUGGCGGGUAACGCCCACCAAGGCGACGAUCGAUAGCUGGUCUGAGAGGAUGAUCAGCCACACUGGAACUGAGACACGGUCCAGACUCCUACGGGAGGCAGCAGUAGGGAAUAUUGGACAAUGGGCGCAAGCCUGAUCCAGCCAUCCCGCGUGAAGGAAGAAUGCGCUAUGCGUUGUAAACUUCUUUUUCAGGGGGAUAAAAUUCUGUAUGUAUACAGGACUGAAGGUACCCUGAGAAUAAGCAUCGGCUAACUCCGUG